This 339-nucleotide ribosomal RNA is filed under the name Triticum aestivum (bread wheat). RNAcentral's name for it is "partial small subunit ribosomal RNA". The record is from RNAcentral. Lineage: Eukaryota; Viridiplantae; Streptophyta; Magnoliopsida; Poales; Poaceae.
AUGAGAGGCACCGGCUUGGUUUCCUCGCUGACAGUAAUCCUGCUCCUCCUCGGAUACCUUGCAGUUAUAGCACAGUGUCGUUUGGAGGCUGGAAGAAGGAGCUACCAGGAGGAUCAUACCGGAGCUACUACAGUCAACGCGACAUCAUUAGAUGAGAGCAAGCUCAACCUACGUUUCUGCACGGGCCAUGUAUGUCGUAAACCUCCGAGGCCCUGUUACUGCUGUGAGCUUGUGCCGCCGGACCAGCCGUGCUUCCCUUCCAAAGAGGAGUGCUGGCAAAAAUGUCCCGCCUGUGACCCCAAGUGUCCCGGCCCACCUGCCACGGAGUUGCAUGCAUGA